GUCCCAAUGGUGUAACGGAUAUCACGCCUCACCACGGAUGAGGAGGUUCCAGGUUCAAAUCCUGGUUGGGAUU
This 73-nucleotide transfer RNA is filed under the name Pavlovales sp. CCMP2436. Its description in RNAcentral is "tRNA-Arg". It matches the Rfam family "tRNA". Rfam says of the family: Transfer RNA (tRNA) molecules are approximately 80 nucleotides in length. Lineage: Eukaryota; Haptophyta; Pavlovophyceae; Pavlovales. The record is from RNAcentral.